GAUGAAGAACGUAGCGAAAUGCGAUAAGUAAUGUGAAUUGCAGAAUUCAGUGAAUCAUCGAAUCUUUGAACGCACAUUGCGCCCCUUGGUAUUCCGAGGGGCAUGCCUGUUCGAGCGUCAUUAUAACCCCUCAAGCUCAGCUUGGUGUUGGGGCCUGCUGCACUGGCAGCCCUUAAAAUCAGUGGCGGCGCCAUCUGGCUCUAAGCGUAGUAAUUCUUCUCGCUAUGGAGUCCUGGUGGAUGCUUGCCAUCAACCCCCAAUUUUUCUAUGGUUGACCUCGGAUCUGGUAGGGAUACCCGCUGAACUUAAGCAUAUCAAUAAGCGGAGGA
Molecule: unclassified non-coding RNA, 329 nt
Filed under: soil metagenome
Description: partial contains 5.8S ribosomal RNA, internal transcribed spacer 2, and large subunit ribosomal RNA
Rfam family: 5.8S ribosomal RNA (bases 1-120)
Source: RNAcentral